This is a long non-coding RNA of Drosophila montana, 355 nucleotides long. RefSeq lists it as uncharacterized. The record is from RefSeq and is a predicted model, not a curated record. The transcript has 2 exons. NCBI's taxonomy places the organism in Eukaryota, Metazoa, Arthropoda, Insecta, Diptera, Drosophilidae.
AGUAACUGCAACGCUGCCCCUGAUAAGAUGCCGAUGCCAGCGUCGCUGUCGUUGCAAAAGGUCUUCUUUGUUGCCCAGUGAGAAGUUAAACAAAAACAAAAAAAAAACAGCACGAGGUUUGCCGAGGCGGCGCCGCUUGCAGCAGCAAUUUACAAUAACAACAACAACAGCUACGACCACUAUGCAUAUAACAACAACAGCAACAACAACAACAACAAGAACAACAGCAACGAGCGUCAUCGACAACGACAACGACUACUCCACAACAACGAGCGGGGCGACGUUGAUUGCCCCGGAAUGCCGUCAAACAGGUUAAAAAUUGCGCGAAUUUGAAAGUGAAAACUUCCACACACAC